UACGUAGGGGGCGAGCGUUGUCCGGAAUUAUUGGGCGUAAAGGGCGCGUAGGCGGCCUGCUAAGUCGAACGUGAAAUCCCCGGGCUCAACCCGGGAACUGCGUCCGAUACUGGUGGGCUUGAAUCCGGGAGAGGGAUGUGGAAUUCCAGGUGUAGCGGUGAAAUGCGUAGAUAUCUGGAGGAACACCGGUGGCGAAGGCGGCAUCCUGGACCGGUAUUGACGCUGAGGCGCGAAAGCUAGGGGAGCAAACGGG
RNAcentral lists this ribosomal RNA (253 nucleotides) under uncultured bacterium. RNAcentral's name for it is "partial 16S ribosomal RNA". It matches the Rfam family "Bacterial small subunit ribosomal RNA", at positions 524 to 776 of the family's 1533-position model. The record is from RNAcentral.